Molecule: ribosomal RNA, 328 nt
Filed under: uncultured eukaryote
Lineage: Eukaryota
Description: partial 18S ribosomal RNA
Rfam family: Eukaryotic small subunit ribosomal RNA
Source: RNAcentral
CCCUUAGAUGUCCUGGGCCGCACGCGCGCUACACUGAUGCAUGCAACGAGUUUAUAACCUUGGCCUGAAAGGUCUGGGUAAUCUUUUGAACGUGCAUCGUGAUAGGGAUAGAUUAUUGCAAUUGUUAAUCUUGAACGAGGAAUUCCUAGUAAACGCGAGUCAUCAGCUCGCAUUGAUUACGUCCCUGCCCUUUGUACACACCGCCCGUCGCACCUACCGAUUGAAUGGUUCGGUGAAGAUCUCGGACUUCGAUAUUUAUUCUUUAUUGAGUUUAUAUUGUGGCAAGUUAUCUAAACCUCAUCAUUUAGAGGAAGGUGAAGUCGUAACA